RNAcentral lists this ribosomal RNA (425 nucleotides) under uncultured bacterium. RNAcentral's name for it is "bacterial SSU rRNA". It matches the Rfam family "Bacterial small subunit ribosomal RNA", at positions 354 to 776 of the family's 1533-position model. The record is from RNAcentral.
GUGAGGAAUAUUGGUCAAUGGACGCAAGUCUGAACCAGCCAUGCCGCGUGCAGGAUGACGGCUCUAUGAGUUGUAAACUGCUUUUGUACGAGGGUAAACGCAGAUACGUGUAUCUGUCUGAAAGUAUCGUACGAAUAAGGAUCGGCUAACUCCGUGCCAGCAGCCGCGGUAAUACGGAGGAUCCAAGCGUUAUCCGGAUUUAUUGGGUUUAAAGGGUGCGUAGGCGGUUUUAUAAGUUAGAGGUGAAAAUUCGGGGCUCAACUCCGGACGUGCCUCUAAUACUGUAUGACUAGAGAUUAGAUGCGGUAGGCGGAAUGUAUGGUGUAGCGGUGAAAUGCGUAGAGAUCAUACAGAACACCGAUUGCGAAGGCAGCUUACCAAACUAUAUCUGACGUUGAGGCACGAAAGCGUGGGGAGCAAACAGG